Molecule: long non-coding RNA, 214 nt
Filed under: Phoenix dactylifera (date palm)
Lineage: Eukaryota; Viridiplantae; Streptophyta; Magnoliopsida; Arecales; Arecaceae
Description: long non-coding RNA (PDAC_LNC012689)
Source: RNAcentral
CAUUCAUCUAAAUAAAUUCAUGACAAUUUGUCAAACUUUCAAAAAUCAAAAUUUAGAUGAAAAAGGUGUAAAAUUGAGAUAGUUCCCAAUGACCUUAGAGGAUCGAGCCGCGGCAUGGCUAUAUUCUCUGGCCCCAAAUUCCAUCACAACAUGGGAACAACUAUCUAGGAAGUUCAUGGCAAAAUUUUACCCCAUGAUUAAAACAGAAAAAAUU